UGCAGUCACGUCAAAUUCGGCCCCUGUUCCUGUUGCAGCAGGAGCCGGCCCAGGUGGCUGCUAAAGCAAGCCGUGCAGCUCAUGGGCCCCGGGUCCCCCACCCUGGGCCCCGGGGAUAAGUGUGGCUGCAGACAGGG
This is a small nucleolar RNA of Hyaena hyaena (striped hyena), 137 nucleotides long. RefSeq annotates it as small nucleolar RNA SNORA5. The record is from RefSeq and is a predicted model, not a curated record. NCBI's taxonomy places the organism in Eukaryota, Metazoa, Chordata, Mammalia, Carnivora, Hyaenidae. The transcript has a single exon.